GAUGAACGCUGGCGGCGUGCUUAAUACAUGCAAGUCGAGCGAAAAGACGAGGAGCUUGCUCCUCUGACGUUAGCGGCGGACGGGUGAGUACCACAUGGACAACCUACCUAUAAGACUGGGAUAACAUCGGGAAACCGGAGCUAAUAGAGGAUAAUAUAUUGAACAGCGUGGUUGAAUAGUGAAUUACGCUUUUGGUGUUACAUAUAGAUGGUUCCGCGCCGCAUUAGCUAGUUGGUAAGGUAACGGCUUACCAAGGCGACGAUGCGUAGCCGACCUGCGAGGGUGAUCGGCCACACUGGAACGGAGACACGGUCCAGACUCCUACGGGAGGCAGCAGUAGGGAAUCUUCCGCAAUGGGCGAAAGCCUGACGGAGCAACGCCGCGUGAGUGAUGAAGGCCUUCGGGUCGUAAAACUCUCUUAUUAGGGAAGAACAGAUGUGUAAUUAACUAUGCAGGUCUUGACGGUACCUGAUCAAAAAGCCACGGCUAACUACGUG
Molecule: ribosomal RNA, 497 nt
Filed under: uncultured bacterium
Lineage: Bacteria
Description: partial 16S ribosomal RNA
Rfam family: Bacterial small subunit ribosomal RNA
Source: RNAcentral